GACGAACGCUGGCGGCGUGCUUAACACAUGCAAGUCGAACGGAAAGGCCCUGCUUUUGUGGGGUGCUCGAGUGGCGAACGGGUGAGUAACACGUGAGUAACCUGCCCUUGACUUUGGGAUAACUUCAGGAAACUGGGGCUAAUACCGGAUAGGAGCUCCUGCUGCAUGGUGGGGGUUGGAAAGUUUCGGCGGUUGGGGAUGGACUCGCGGCUUAUCAGCUUGUUGGUGGGGUAGUGGCUUACCAAGGCUUUGACGGGUAGCCGGCCUGAGAGGGUGAGCGGGCAGAGGGGGAAGGAAGUACGGAAGAGGCGGGUGAGGGAGGCAGCAGGGGGGAAUAGGGGAGAAGGGGCGGAAGAGUGAGGAAGGCUCGCGGAGGGGGGGAGGAAGGGGGUAGGGUGGUAAAAAGAUGGGGACGGGGAAGAAGCGGGCGGGAAGGGAAUGGGUUAAGAAGCAGAGCACAAGUACGGG
This 468-nucleotide ribosomal RNA is filed under the name uncultured bacterium. RNAcentral describes it as "partial 16S ribosomal RNA". The stretch from base 20 to 332 matches the Rfam family "Bacterial small subunit ribosomal RNA", at positions 47 to 358 of the family's 1533-position model. The record is from RNAcentral.